GUAGGGUGGCGAGCGUUGUCCGGAAUUAUUGGCGUAAAGAGCUCGUAGGCGGUGUGUCGCGUCGGCCGUGAAAACCUGCAGCUUAACUGUGGGCGUGCGGUCGAUACGGGCAUCACUGGAGUUCGGCAGGGGAGACUGGAAGUUCCUGGUGUAGCGGUGAAAUGCGCAGAUAUCAGGAGGAACACCGGUGGCGAAGGCGGGUCUCUGGGCCGAAUACUGACGCUGGAGGAGCGAAAGCGUGGGGAGCAAACAGG
RNAcentral lists this ribosomal RNA (254 nucleotides) under uncultured bacterium. RNAcentral's name for it is "partial 16S ribosomal RNA". It matches the Rfam family "Bacterial small subunit ribosomal RNA", at positions 526 to 776 of the family's 1533-position model. The record is from RNAcentral.